Molecule: ribosomal RNA, 592 nt
Filed under: uncultured Microbacterium sp.
Lineage: Bacteria; Bacillati; Actinomycetota; Actinomycetes; Micrococcales; Microbacteriaceae
Description: bacterial SSU rRNA
Rfam family: Bacterial small subunit ribosomal RNA
Source: RNAcentral
UGGGGAAUAUUGCACAAUGGGCGCAAGCCUGAUGCAGCAACGCCGCGUGAGGGAUGACGGCCUUCGGGUUGUAAACCUCUUUUAGCAGGGAAGAAGCGAAAGUGACGGUACCUGCAGAAAAAGCGCCGGCUAACUACGUGCCAGCAGCCGCGGUAAUACGUAGGGCGCAAGCGUUAUCCGGAAUUAUUGGGCGUAAAGAGCUCGUAGGCGGUUUGUCGCGUCUGCUGUGAAAUCCCGAGACUCAACCUCGGGUCUGCAGUGGGUACGGGCAGACUAGAGUGCGGUAGGGGAGAUUGGAAUUCCUGGUGUAGCGGUGGAAUGCGCAGAUAUCAGGAGGAACACCGAUGGCGAAGGCAGAUCUCUGGGCCGUAACUGACGCUGAGGAGCGAAAGGGUGGGGAGCAAACAGGCUUAGAUACCCUGGUAGUCCACCCCGUAAACGUUGGGAACUAGUUGUGGGGUCCAUUCCACGGAUUCCGUGACGCAGCUAACGCAUUAAGUUCCCCGCCUGGGGAGUACGGCCGCAAGGCUAAAACUCAAAGGAAUUGACGGGGACCCGCACAAGCGGCGGAGCAUGCGGAUUAAUUCGAUGC